This 311-nucleotide small nuclear RNA is filed under the name Jaculus jaculus (lesser Egyptian jerboa). RNAcentral's name for it is "7SK RNA (ENSJJAG00000005070.1)". It matches the Rfam family "7SK RNA". From Rfam's summary of the family: 7SK was discovered as an abundant small nuclear RNA in the mid-70s but a possible function has only recently been suggested. Two independent studies have found that 7SK RNA binds the CDK9/cyclin T complex (known as elongation factor P-TEFb). Lineage: Eukaryota; Metazoa; Chordata; Mammalia; Rodentia; Dipodidae. The record is from Rfam by way of RNAcentral.
GGAUGUAAGGGUGAUCUGGCUGCAACAUUUAUCACCCUGUUGAUCACCAGGGUUAAUUCAGUUGAUCUAGCUGGCUAGGUGGGUAUCCCCUUCCUCUCUCACCAUUCAGUGUGUAUACCUUGUAAAACUGCUCACAAGGCCAAAGAGUGUAACUCUCCCAGAAUAAUCUUUAGUCAAGGGUACACAAGUACCUGAGCUGCCCUACAGAACCUCCAAUCAAGCUCUGAAAGCACAAGUUUAUAGGGAACAUCUGAUUCAAACCACCACAGCAUCAGAAAACAUCAACUCUUCCAGAAAGCAUUGGUAAAUUU